Molecule: small nucleolar RNA, 122 nt
Organism: Nycticebus coucang (slow loris)
Lineage: Eukaryota; Metazoa; Chordata; Mammalia; Primates; Lorisidae
Product: small nucleolar RNA SNORA26
Exons: 1
Source: RefSeq, a predicted model, not a curated record
GUGCCCUUUUAAGGUUGAUGCAAUGCUUUAAGAAGCUAAUACAGAAGUGUAAAGUAAGUCUCCAUAAAACCCAGAGAAGAGACAAAAAAAUUCCUAUGAGGAUUCACAGCUGAGCCAGAAAA